GAUGAACGCUGGCGGCGUGCCUAAUACAUGCAAGUCGAACGAACAGACGAGGAGCUUGCUCCUCUGACGUUAGCGGCGGACGGGUGAGUAACACGUGGAUAACCUACCUAUAAGACUGGGAUAACUUCGGGAAACCGGAGCUAAUACCGGAUAAUAUAUUGAACCGCAUGGUUCAAUAGUGAAAGACGGUUUUGCUGUCACUUAUAGAUGGAUCCGCGCCGCAUUAGCUAGUUGGUACGGUAACGGCUUACCAAGGCGACGAUGCGUAGCCGACCUGAGAGGGUGAUCGGCCACACUGGAACUGAGACACGGUCCAGACUCCUACGGGAGGCAGCAGUAGGGAAUCUUCCGCAAUGGGCGAAAGCCUGACGGAGCAACGCCGCGUGAGUGAUGAAGGUCUUCGGAUCGUAAAACUCUGUUAUUAGGGAAGAACAAAUGUGUAAGUAACUAUGCACGUCUUGACGGUACCUAAUCAGAAAGCCACGGCUAACUACGUG
This 497-nucleotide ribosomal RNA is filed under the name uncultured bacterium. Its description in RNAcentral is "partial 16S ribosomal RNA". It matches the Rfam family "Bacterial small subunit ribosomal RNA", at positions 28 to 507 of the family's 1533-position model. The record is from RNAcentral.